CAUGGAGGGAAGAUCAGCGUGCAAAGCUGGGUCGGCAAGACGUGCAAGGCGCCCCCACAGCCAUAACAAUCCCUCCACAGACCCCAUCGUGUCCUCACGGUGGUGACAACGGCCCCCCUACACUGCAGGAGAACAACGCGAGGUGAGCCCAAGCGUGCUGAUGGUGGUUUCCGAUUCAACUCCCACUCAGAGAACCCCAGAGAGCUCCUGACUCCAUCUCAGUAGGGUCCUGAAGCCCGUGCUAUGUCAGAAGACACAGGGUCUCCUGCGUCUGUGCCAGGACAGAGGAGCAGCAAAGCCUUUCUGAAGGGACUGUCGCCAGCCAAGCUGCAAUCCUUGGAAACACUAAAAACACCCAGUAGAGAUAGGGUUUCACCAUGUUGGCCAGGCUGGUCUCGAACUCCUGACCUCAAGUGAUCUACGUGCUGCGGCCUCCCAAAGUGCUGGGAUUACAAGCGUGAGCCACCGGGCCCAGCCCUAAAUCUUAUUUUUAAAAGAUGACUGGCAACGUCACCCAGCCCAAAAGACUCCAAAACACUCAAAAGGUGUGAAUAAGCUUCUCCCCUCCAGGAGUACCCGCCACCUGAGGAUACAUAAACAUAAACACUUCCUCGUCUUACUUUGCUGUGCACACCUGUCUGAAACCAUCAGCACACAGUAUGCUGGUGCACAAUGACCUGGAGCCUGAGCUGAGCCCUGUCCUGCUUUUGAUUUGGUGGAUAUGAGGUAGGAGGCUCAGCCAGAGUCAGAGGACGGAGGGUGUGUACUCCUGAGAUGCAGGGAUGGGGGAGAUGCGGGGCACCGGGCCAAGCUGAAGGGGUAGGGAGAAGAUGCCAAGUUUACAACCACCAGAUGGGCAGCACCUCCACCUGAAUUCCCAGGAUGCCACUGCCUUCACUUGGGGACUCUCUCCAGCCCCUGCAUCCGCCCCCACCAGGCAGGCACAUCUGUGUUGUUCGCACAGCUCACAGCCUAUCUGACAACUCCAAGUCCAUAGUCCCGGAAGCACUAUGGCAGACGUGAGGCUUCUAUCCUGCUCAGUUGCACACAGUGCAGGACGUGGAGUGACAUCUGCAGCACACCACUCUCUCCAAAGCCAUAACGACAUACUCAGUUUAGCCAGGCGCAGUAGAUCACACCUGUAAUCCCAGCACUUUCGGAGGCCAGGGUAAUCACUUGAGCCCAGGAGUUCAAGACCAAACUGGGUAACACAGUGAGACCCGUCUCUACAAAAAUUAGCCAGGUGUGCUGCAUGCACCUGUAGUCCCAGCGACUUGGGAGGCUGAGGUAUGGAGACUGCUUGAAUCCAGAUCAAGGUUGCAGUGAGCUGAGAUUGCACCACUGCACCCCAGCCUAGGUGACAGAAUGAGACAUAGUCUCAAAAAAUAAAAGUUAAAAAAAGGCUGGGUGUGGUGGCUCA
RNAcentral lists this long non-coding RNA (1420 nucleotides) under Piliocolobus tephrosceles (Ugandan red Colobus). RNAcentral describes it as "lncRNA (ENSPTEG00000009173.1)". Lineage: Eukaryota; Metazoa; Chordata; Mammalia; Primates; Cercopithecidae. The record is from RNAcentral.